This 900-nucleotide ribosomal RNA is filed under the name uncultured archaeon. Its description in RNAcentral is "bacterial SSU rRNA". It matches the Rfam family "Archaeal small subunit ribosomal RNA", at positions 455 to 1353 of the family's 1478-position model. The record is from RNAcentral.
GUGCCAGCCGCCGCGGUAAAACCAGCACCUCAAGUGGUCAGGAGGAUUAUUGGGCCUAAAGCAUCCGUAGCCUGCUCUGUAAGUUUCCGGUUAAAUMCAUUAGCUCAACUAAUGGCCUGCCGGAAAUACUGCAGAGCUAGGAAGUGGGAGAGGUAGACGGUACUCGGUAGGAAGGGGUAAAAUCCUUUGAUCUAUUGAUGACCACCUGUGGCGAAGGCGGUCUACCAGAACACGUUCGACGGUGAGGGAUGAAAGCUGGGGGAGCAAACCGGAUUAGAUACCCGGGUAGUCCCAGCUGUAAACGAUGCAGACUCGGUGAUGCCCUGGCUUGUGGCCAGUGCAGUGCCGCAGGGAAGCCGUUAAGUUUGCCGCCUGGGAAGUACGUACGCAAGUAUGAAACUUAAAGGAAUUGGCGGGGGAGCACCACAAGGGGUGAAGCCUGCGGUUCAAUUGGAGUCAACGCCAGAAAUCUUACCCGGAGAGACAGCAGAAUGAAGGUCAAGCUGAAGACUUUACCAGACAAGCUGAGAGGUGGUGCAUGGCCGUCGCCAGCUCGUGCCGUGAGAUGUCCUGUUAAGUCAGGUAACGAGCGAGAUCCCUGCCUCUAGUUGCCACCAUUACUCUCAGGAGUAGUGGGGCGAAUUAGCGGGACCGCCACAGUUAAUGUGGAGGAAGGAAGGGGCCACGGCAGGUCAGUAUGCCCCGAAACUCUGGGGCCACACGCGGGCUGCAAUGGUAGUGACAAUGAGUUCCGAAACCGAAAGGUGGAGGUAAUCUUCAAACGCUACCACAGUUAUGAUUGAGGGCUGCAACUCGCCCUCAUGAAUAUGGAAUCCCUAGUAACUGCGUGUCAUUAUCGCGCGGUGAAUACGUCCCUGCUCCUUGCACACACCGCCCGUC